RNAcentral lists this ribosomal RNA (330 nucleotides) under uncultured bacterium. RNAcentral describes it as "bacterial SSU rRNA". It matches the Rfam family "Bacterial small subunit ribosomal RNA", at positions 148 to 507 of the family's 1533-position model. The record is from RNAcentral.
CCACCGAAAGGUGGUCUAAUACUUCAUAUUAUCCAUCUCGUAUGGAUUAAAGCUUUAUGCGCUUGGGAGGGGCCUGCGUAACAUUAGCUUGUUGGUGAGGUAAAAGCUCACCAAGGCUUCGAUGUUUAACUGGUUUGAGAGGAUGACCAGUCACACUGGACUGAGAUACGGCCCAGACUCCUACGGGAGGCAGCAGUAAGGAAUCUUCCACAAUGGGGCAACCCUGAUGGAGCAAUACCGCGUGCAGGAUGAAGCGUUUCGGCGUGUAAACUGCUUUUAUCACCGAAGAUUAUGACUGUAGGUGAAGAAUAAGGACCGGCUAACUACGUG